AACGAACGCUGGCGGCAUGCCUAACACAUGCAAGUCGAACGAGACCUUCGGGUCUAGUGGCGCACGGGUGCGUAACGCGUGGGAAUCUGCCCUUGGGUUCGGGAUAACAGUUGGAAACGACUGCUAAUACCGGAUGAUGACUUCGGUCCAAAGAUUUAUCGCCCAGGGAUGAGCCCGCGUCGGAUUAGCUAGUUGGUGAGGUAGGAGCUCACCAAGGCGACGAUCCGUAGCUGGUCUGAGAGGAUGAUCAGCCACACUGGGACUGAGACACGGCCCAGACUCCUACGGGAGGCAGCAGUGGGGAAUAUUGGACAAUGGGCGAAAGCCUGAUCCAGCAAUGCCGCGUGAGUGAUGAAGGCCUUAGGGUUGUAAAGCUCUUUUACCCGGGAUGAUAAUGACAGUACCGGGAGAAUAAGCCCCGGCUAACUCCGUG
Molecule: ribosomal RNA, 433 nt
Filed under: uncultured bacterium
Lineage: Bacteria
Description: partial 16S ribosomal RNA
Rfam family: Bacterial small subunit ribosomal RNA
Source: RNAcentral